UCUCUUAGUACAAUAUUCAGUACAACUGACUUCCAAUCAGUUAGUCUUAGCAAUAAACCUAAGAGAGAGUA
RNAcentral lists this transfer RNA (71 nucleotides) under Sundasciurus everetti (Bornean mountain ground squirrel). RNAcentral describes it as "Dremomys everetti tRNA-Gly". It matches the Rfam family "tRNA". Rfam says of the family: Transfer RNA (tRNA) molecules are approximately 80 nucleotides in length. Lineage: Eukaryota; Metazoa; Chordata; Mammalia; Rodentia; Sciuridae. The record is from RNAcentral.